RNAcentral lists this unclassified non-coding RNA (205 nucleotides) under Hevea brasiliensis (rubber tree). The record is from RNAcentral. Lineage: Eukaryota; Viridiplantae; Streptophyta; Magnoliopsida; Malpighiales; Euphorbiaceae.
CUUCUAAUCCCUCUAACUGAGGCGUCACAUGGAAGAAAUUUUGAAGCUGUUGCCUGGACCACACUCGGAAUCAAAGAGAGUUGGAUUCUUAAGCAGUCCAUCUUCUGACACAUUGCACAGGGCUUCAGAAGCUGCAGACAGAUUAGCUGAUGGACGGCGCUCCCUUGUACUUGUUGUAUUCAUUGGAGGGGUUACAUUUGCAGAA